RNAcentral lists this ribosomal RNA (638 nucleotides) under uncultured bacterium. RNAcentral's name for it is "bacterial SSU rRNA". It matches the Rfam family "Bacterial small subunit ribosomal RNA", at positions 607 to 1245 of the family's 1533-position model. The record is from RNAcentral.
GCUCAACCGGGGAGGGUCAUUGGAAACUGGGGAACUUGAGUGCAGAAGAGGAGAGUGGAAUUCCACGUGUAGCGGUGAAAUGCGUAGAGAUGUGGAGGAACACCAGUGGCGAAGGCGACUCUCUGGUCUGUAACCGACGCUGAGGCGCGAAAGCGUGGGGAGCGAACAGGAUUAGAUACCCUGGUAGUCCACGCCGUAAACGAUGAGUGCUAAGUGUUAGAGGGUUUCCGCCCUUUAGUGCUGCAGCAAACGCAUUAAGCACUCCGCCUGGGGAGUACGGUCGCAAGACUGAAACUCAAAGGAAUUGACGGGGGCCCGCACAAGCGGUGGAGCAUGUGGUUUAAUUCGAAGCAACGCGAAGAACCUUACCAGGUCUUGACAUCCUCUGACAACCCUAGAGAUAGGGCUUCCCCUUCGGGGGCAGAGUGACAGGUGGUGCAUGGUUGUCGUCAGCUCGUGUCGUGAGAUGUUGGGUUAAGUCCCGCAACGAGCGCAACCCUUGAUCUUAGUUGCCAGCAUUCAGUUGGGCACUCUAAGGUGACUGCCGGUGACAAACCGGAGGAAGGUGGGGAUGACGUCAAAUCAUCAUGCCCCUUAUGACCUGGGCUACACACGUGCUACAAUGGGCAGAACAAAAG